GCCCACGAGAGCGCUGGAGGGUCUCUAGCCCUCCGGAGGCAGGUGUCGCAGGUUCGAAUCCUGCCGAGGGCA
Molecule: transfer RNA, 72 nt
Filed under: Amycolatopsis sp. FDAARGOS 1241
Lineage: Bacteria; Bacillati; Actinomycetota; Actinomycetes; Pseudonocardiales; Pseudonocardiaceae
Description: tRNA-Arg
Source: RNAcentral